RNAcentral lists this small nuclear RNA (106 nucleotides) under Solanum tuberosum (potato). The record is from RNAcentral. Lineage: Eukaryota; Viridiplantae; Streptophyta; Magnoliopsida; Solanales; Solanaceae.
GUCCCGUCGGGGAUAUUUGACAAAAUUAGAACGAUACAAAAAAUAGGAUUAGCUUGAUCUUUGCGCAAGAAUGACACACACAAAUCGAGAAAUGAUUCAAAUGUUU